This 253-nucleotide ribosomal RNA is filed under the name uncultured archaeon. RNAcentral describes it as "partial 16S ribosomal RNA". It matches the Rfam family "Archaeal small subunit ribosomal RNA", at positions 474 to 726 of the family's 1478-position model. The record is from RNAcentral.
UCCCAGCACUCCGAGUCGCAGCCACAAUUAUUGGGUCUAAAACAUUCGUAGCUUGCUUUGUAAGUCUUUUGUGAAAUCGGGCAUCUUAAGUGUCCGGCGAGCAAAAGAUACUGCAUAGCUAGGAACCGGGAGAUGUAAAGAGUACGAAUAGAGUAGCGGUAAAAUGCGUUGAUCCUAUUUGGACUAACAACAGCGAAGGCACUUUACAAGAACGGAUUCGACAGUGAGGAAUGAAGGCUAGGGGCGCAAAUUG